Molecule: ribosomal RNA, 254 nt
Filed under: uncultured bacterium
Lineage: Bacteria
Description: partial 16S ribosomal RNA
Rfam family: Bacterial small subunit ribosomal RNA
Source: RNAcentral
UACGUAGGGAGCAAGCGUUGUUCGGAUUUACUGGGCGUAAAGGGCGCGUAGGCGGCAUAUUAAGUCACCUGUGAAAUCUCCGAGCUUAACUCGGAACUGUCAGCUGAUACUGAUGUGCUAGAGUGCGGAAGGGGCAAUCGGAAUUCUUGGUGUAGCGGUGAAAUGCGUAGAUAUCAAGAGGAACACCUGAGGUGAAGACGGGUUGCUGGGCCGACACUGACGCUGAGUGCGCGAAAGCCAGGGGAGCAAACGGG